RNAcentral lists this long non-coding RNA (1446 nucleotides) under Phasianus colchicus (ring-necked pheasant). Its description in RNAcentral is "lncRNA (ENSPCLG00000013558.1)". The record is from RNAcentral. Lineage: Eukaryota; Metazoa; Chordata; Aves; Galliformes; Phasianidae.
AUGCAGCAGAAGCUGAGGUACUGUGACAGGGAUAUUUUCCAGGGCAAGCAGCCGGAGUCCCGCAGGCCGCAUCCGCGAAGCAGACGCAAAAUCGCCGCGGCACCGGGCGAGCUGCCGUCAGCGGGCACAGCGCGAUGCGUGCGCACCAGCGAGCAGAAACGCGGUACCCCGGCCUGCCCUACGCCCGCAGCAGCUCCGUGCAGCACAGCCGGCGCACAUCCCUCCGCUCGCUCAGCAGCCGGCUCUGAAACCAACUGCAAUCCUACGGCCCCCACAGCGGAUUUCCCCGCCCCAGAUGCGAGGCCCGAGCUCCCGCAUUCCCUACGAGGCGGGUUUAUGUACGAGGGCGGCAGCGCAGCCCUGCCCGGACCGUCCCUGCUAACGCUGAUCCUUCCAGAAAGAGCCGCAGAGCGCGGGGCCACCGCAACCCCGCCAUGUCCGGGCCCGCCGUCUCCCCGUGAGCCGCAGCCCCGGGCACCGCAGCCUGCCCGCCUCUCCCUGCCGCCGGGCACGGGGCGCGGGGGAGGAGGGGCGGCUCCGCAGCUCGGCCCGAGCGGGAUGCACGCGUCGGCCGCCGCAGCGCAGCGCCGAGUCGAGCCGAGCCGGCCGCCAGCCCGCGCCCACCCGCCCCCCGCCGCACCUCUCCCGGCCGCUCCCCGCUCGCGGUCCCUCCCGCAGCCGCGCCGCCGGGCACCGCCGAGCGGGGCCCCGCGUCCCGCGCCCGGGCCUCGGCCCGACCCCUCCGCACCUGGUGCGGGUCCGCGCCGCCUCCUCACCACGCAGGGCGGCUCCGGCGGGGCUGGCAGCGCAGCGCGGGGCGGACAGCCCGGCAGGCAGCCUUUCCUCCCGCCACCAUCUUCCUCCGGCCGCCGCCCCCGCCGCCAGCACCGCCCGGCACGGCCCCUCCCGCCGCUCCGCACCGCCCUUCGCGUCAGCGCGUCCGCCGCCGCCCUCCUGGUCCCGCGGCGGUGCGGGGCGGUGCCGCCAUCACGGGCCGCGCCGGUGGGAGGCGAGGAGAUGGCGGCCGCCGGGCCGGGCUGCCCGGACGCCCCCGCCGGAGAGCGGGCUGAGCCCGGCCCGGGGCCCGACCCUGCCGCGGGGGGAACAAUGGCUGCCCGGCUGCCGGGGCGAGGCAGGAUGGCGCACCUGGCGCCAAGCCCCGGGGCAGCCCUUCCCGCCCGGCGGCGAGCUUGCACCGAGACGGUGCGGCUCGCUGCUGCACGCGACUGCUUGCUCCCUGUUCACACAUACAAACGUAGUAUUAAUCAUAGGAUGUCAAGAGUUCGAAGAGAGCCAUUAAGGAUCGUCGAGUCCAACGCAUGGCUCCACACAGAACCACCCGAAACACAAAACCAUGUAUGGCUAAGAGCGUUGGCAGCUUGGUGCUGUGACCACGGCCUACGGGAGACCUGUCCCACCACCCAAAGGUGGCGAACCAUUCCCUGA